GAUAAUCGGCUUACCUUAUCGGCGAUAGUCGCCGGAGUUGCUCGGAGACGGAGAGAAGGACGAAGACGCUAUCUCGAUCGGGCUGAAGUCCCAGCCUCGCCGUGAUUUUUGCGCUCACCAGAAGCAGAAACGGGGAGAAGGGAAAGGAAGGCCGGGUUGCUGCGGCAAGGAGUCGACGGCGAGGAGAUGAGAUCGAUCGGCUCUGGUGGCUGGAAACGGGAAGGGAAAGAGGAGGAGGAGGUUGCGCGCUGGCACUAGCGCAAGGAAGGAGAAGGAAAAAGAAAAA
This 286-nucleotide long non-coding RNA is filed under the name Jatropha curcas. RNAcentral's name for it is "long non-coding RNA (JCUR_LNC000031)". Lineage: Eukaryota; Viridiplantae; Streptophyta; Magnoliopsida; Malpighiales; Euphorbiaceae. The record is from RNAcentral.